UCCCCCAAGAGUCCACAUCGACGGGGAGGUUUGGCACCUCGAUGUCGGCUCAUCACAUCCUGGGGCUGUAGUAGGUCCCAAGGGUUGGGCUGUUCGCCCAUUAAAGUGGUACGCGAGCUGGGUUCAGAACGUCGUGAGACAGUUCGGUCCCUAUCCGUCGCAGGCGUAGGAAAUUUGAGAAGACCUGUCCUUAGUACGAGAGGACCGGGAUGGACGUACCUCUGGUGUACCAGUUGU
RNAcentral lists this ribosomal RNA (237 nucleotides) under Clostridioides difficile. RNAcentral's name for it is "partial 23S ribosomal RNA". It matches the Rfam family "Bacterial large subunit ribosomal RNA", at positions 2488 to 2724 of the family's 2925-position model. The record is from RNAcentral. Lineage: Bacteria; Bacillati; Bacillota; Clostridia; Peptostreptococcales; Peptostreptococcaceae.